AGCUCCAAUAGCGUAUAUUAAAGUUGUUGCAGUUAAAAAGCUCGUAGUUGAACCUUGGGUCUGGCUGGCCGGUCCGCCUCACCGCGAGUACUGGUCCGGCUGGACCUUUCCUUCUGGGGAACCUCAUGGCCUUCACUGGCUGUGGGGGGAACCAGGACUUUUACUGUGAAAAAAUUAGAGUGUUCAAAGCAGGCCUUUGCUCGAAUACAUUAGCAUGGAAUAAUAGAAUAGGACGUGCGUUUCUAUUUUGUUGGUUUCUAGGACCGCCGUAAUGAUUAAUAGGGAUAGUCGGGGGCGUCAGUAUUCAGCUGUCAGAGGUGAAAUUCUUGGAUUUGCUGAAGACUAACUACUGCGAAAGCAUUCGCCAAGGAUGUUUUCA
This 379-nucleotide ribosomal RNA is filed under the name uncultured eukaryote. Its description in RNAcentral is "SSU rRNA". It matches the Rfam family "Eukaryotic small subunit ribosomal RNA", at positions 587 to 972 of the family's 1831-position model. The record is from RNAcentral.